RNAcentral lists this transfer RNA (73 nucleotides) under Cricetulus griseus (Chinese hamster). It matches the Rfam family "tRNA". Rfam says of the family: Transfer RNA (tRNA) molecules are approximately 80 nucleotides in length. Lineage: Eukaryota; Metazoa; Chordata; Mammalia; Rodentia; Cricetidae. The record is from Rfam by way of RNAcentral.
GACUAGGGAGCUCAGUGGGUAAAGUCCUUGCCUGGCAUGCAUGAAGCCCUGGGUUCAAACUUCAGCCUAUUUA